This 369-nucleotide long non-coding RNA is filed under the name Anser brachyrhynchus (Pink-footed goose). Its description in RNAcentral is "lncRNA (ENSABRG00000014164.1)". The record is from RNAcentral. Lineage: Eukaryota; Metazoa; Chordata; Aves; Anseriformes; Anatidae.
GAACAGCUCCCCUGCCAGACAACUCCCCACCUCCUCUUGCCAACCACACUCAGCACACAAUUUGCCCUUCAAAAAAAAAAGUAAGAACAUACAAACAAAAACAACUGAGCUCCACAAAUGCCAAAAAGCCAUGCACACACAACAGCCCCAGCAGGGGUAAUCACAGACUUACCCUUUACAGAUGAAAAAGGUAACUCUGGUAUGACCCUGCUCGGUCUCUUGGUAAUACUGUGACUCUAGUCAAGCCUCUUGCAGCGUGUAAUCAAGCUCUUUUUAGUCCUCUGGAGAGUUACACAAGUGGUUUGAUACAUCUAGAGAUUAAAAUAUAACCCCAAAACAGAAGUGUAUCCCACCGUCCCAAAAACGAGC